This is a non-coding RNA of Pelobates cultripes (western spadefoot toad), 314 nucleotides long. The record is from the annotation of a GenBank genome assembly. NCBI's taxonomy places the organism in Eukaryota, Metazoa, Chordata, Amphibia, Anura, Pelobatidae.
AUAUUUGAAAUUAAGGUCUAGCAUGGUCAACAAUUGUAGAGUAUCCUUAUAAGUGCCUGAUGAAAAGCAUAGAAAAAUUAAAUACAUAAGCCAUGAAAGUCACCUCAUCUUAAGUGUAUUUAUGCCAUAACAAAGCAUAAUUUAACGACUAUGUAGUUCUAAUACAUGUAAAGUAUUGUACUAAAAAUAACAUACAAGGUAGAAUAAUUACCCUGCUCCUGAUGUGAAACCUAUAUAGAUGAUAACCAGUAAUGUUACUUAACCUAAUUGUGUCUAAUACCCAAGCUUGAUUUGAAAUAUUUAGGGGAACCGCC